GAAGAAUGGGAAGAAUGCAAGUCUAUGGUGACUGUGGUGGCAGAGAAUGGGGACAGUUAAGAGAGCUAAUUCUUCCUGAUGUACAUGUUGGAGCUGACCUGACUUCCAAGUUCUGUCACCUGCACCUGUUGUCUGAGGGUUUUCCUGUGCCUCCACAGGCCACUUUGUCUGAACACCUGCCAUCUGGAAACAUGAUACACCAGGAGUUGUCAUUUACCAGUGAACACUGAAGUAGAUUACAAAUACAAUUACAGUGAUGAAGAUUUAUUGUAAUUUGAAAUGGCAUUAAAAAGCAAUGACAUAAUUAUAAUGUUAAUUAAAAGACAACGAGUCUUAUUGGAUAAAAUUAUCAGAAAUUGCAAAAUGCAAGUAAUAUAUUCUUGCAUAAUGCAUGAAAAAUAAAAAUUAAUAUAUUUUUCAUAUCCCCCCUUUUUUCCCCAGAGACAGGGCCUCACUUUGUUGCCUAGACUGGAGCACAGGUUAGAUCACUUUACACUAUAACUUGGAACACCAGGCCUCAAGGCUUCCUCCUGUCUCAGCCCUGGAGUAGCUAAGAUUAUAGGCAAGUUUACAUUUUAAUUCUAUUAUUAUAGUCUCUUAUAAGCAAAGUUCAUAACUCGACAUAUAUGCCAGUGCAAAAUAUGAAUGUGAAUACUACAAAACAAUAUCAUGAACUUCAUUUGAAAAAAUGACAACCCAUCUGAACAUGGGUUCAUGAAUUUUCUUCAGGUGAGACAAAUACAGCAAUGGCUCAUACUAAUACCUCUUCCAUUUCAUGGCUCUACCCAGGUAAAGAGCUCUCUGCAUUUAGCUUGCUCCUCAAAUAUGACUUCCACAGACAUGGGUAGUCCCUGACCUCACUUACCCAUCAUUAGCUCUCUUCAUAUCACUUAUUUUACUUAACUUUAUGUAAUUCUUGGUGUAUUCCUUAUCUUCUCUAUAAAAAAGUAGACUGUAUAUGGGUAGGGACACGAUAUGUUCAUUGCAGUAUCACUGCCACUCUAAGUAUAUGUUCAAUAAAUUUGUAUUGAUUGGUUCAAUGAGUGCAUAAAGAAAGAAAAAAAUAAAGUAAUAGAAAGGCA
This is a long non-coding RNA of Carlito syrichta (Philippine tarsier), 1082 nucleotides long. RefSeq lists it as uncharacterized. The record is from RefSeq and is a predicted model, not a curated record. Lineage: Eukaryota; Metazoa; Chordata; Mammalia; Primates; Tarsiidae. The transcript is spliced from 2 exons.